GACCAAACCAGUGCACAGACCAAGAGCAAUUUUUACAGGUGCCAUGAAUUCGAUUACUCAACGAUUUCACAGGAAACAAUUAAUCAUUGGUUCGAAAGCGGAUGAAGGACGGUGGCUGGUGAUGGUGGUGGGUGAGGAUGGUUGUCGAAUGUGCAAAGGACAACGAAGAUGGCGACUCCCAUCUCCAUAUGGGUCUUAUUUUGUUCAUGUUGAAAAGAAUUCAUUUUG
RNAcentral lists this long non-coding RNA (228 nucleotides) under Malus domestica (apple). RNAcentral's name for it is "long non-coding RNA (MDOM_LNC017663)". Lineage: Eukaryota; Viridiplantae; Streptophyta; Magnoliopsida; Rosales; Rosaceae. The record is from RNAcentral.